Salvia hispanica is the source of this 426-nucleotide non-coding RNA. The record is from RefSeq and is a predicted model, not a curated record. NCBI's taxonomy places the organism in Eukaryota, Viridiplantae, Streptophyta, Magnoliopsida, Lamiales, Lamiaceae.
UUCCUUUCUACAGUUCCUUGGCACCUGGUGGCUCCAAAUUCUGCAGGAAUCCGGCACCACCUCCAGGGAUUGAGAUUAUACACAACUAUGGCAUGGAAGAGCGUGAAUGAAGAGGAUCCAUCAUCCUCUGAAAUAAAUGAAGAUUGGAGGUCCACAAAUCAUGAUAGGAGGCGAGUUCUGUUCUAGUUUGUGGUCUGUGGUUUUCAAUUUAAGAUUUUUCUUUAGAAAGAGAUGUUGAUGAUCAUUCUUGUAUUUGAGUAGUUGUGACUCCCAAAAUUGGACGUGGUUAAAUUCUUGUUGGAUAAUCACUGCCUGUUUCUUUCCAUGUUUGGAAAACUCACCGAAGCUUGCUGUCUGUAACUUUCAACCAGGACUCUUUCCUUGAAAUCUGGAUGACAGAUGUUUAUAACAUGUGUUUUGCAAUAA